RNAcentral lists this ribosomal RNA (454 nucleotides) under Rothia sp. oral taxon 188. RNAcentral's name for it is "bacterial SSU rRNA". It matches the Rfam family "Bacterial small subunit ribosomal RNA", at positions 28 to 489 of the family's 1533-position model. Lineage: Bacteria; Bacillati; Actinomycetota; Actinomycetes; Micrococcales; Micrococcaceae. The record is from RNAcentral.
GACGAACGCUGGCGGCGUGCUUAACACAUGCAAGUCGAACGAUGAAGCGGUGCUUGCACCGUGGAUUAGUGGCGAACGGGUGAGUAAUACGUGAGUGACCUACCUUUGACUCUGGGAUAAGCCUGGGAAACUGGGUCUAAUACCGGAUACGACCAAUCUCUGCAUGGGGUGUUGGUGGAAAGCGUUAUGGAGUGGUUUUAGAUGGGCUCACGGCCUAUCAGCUUGUUGGUGAGGUAAUGGCUUACCAAGGCGACGACGGGUAGCCGGCCUGAGAGGGUGACCGGCCACACUGGGACUGAGACACGGCCCAGACUCCUACGGGAGGCAGCAGUGGGGAAUAUUGCACAAUGGGCGCAAGCCUGAUGCAGCGACGCCGCGUGAGGGAUGACGGCCUUUCGGGUUGUAAACCUCUGUUAGCAUCGAAGAAGCGAAAGUGACGGUAGGUGCAGAGAAA